CGUUUGACUCUGGAUAUCUUAGCAUUC
Molecule: non-coding RNA, 27 nt
Filed under: Mus musculus (house mouse)
Lineage: Eukaryota; Metazoa; Chordata; Mammalia; Rodentia; Muridae
Source: RNAcentral